GUCUGCCUCUCUCUGUGGUGAACUCUUACUGGAGAAAACUGCCCUACUUUCUUGCCCUGGUAACUCUGUCCUACCUGGCAGCGUCUUUACGUGGAGCUCAGACAGAGAGCAGUUCCAGAUUUCCCACUGUCUGCACAGAAAAGUUCCCAGAGCUCCGAGGAGGCCAGGGUAUUGAAUUCCCAGCUCUGGAAACCGUGCUAUGGCUCAGUGUUGGGGGCCAAACCCAAAGCUGUACUGGUGCAGUGAAAGUACUCGCCUACGAAUCGGCAGCCUAACCAGGCUUCUGGUCCAACGCCUGCCCUGAGCUCACGGAAGACGACAGUACACUGUGGCCUGUUUUCUGGUGGAUUCAGAAGUGUCUGAUAAUGCAAUAGUUAAGAAUUAUGUUCAUUGGUGCAACAUAAAUCCAAGAGAAAAGCUCCGACAAGACAUUGGACAGGAGAGAAGAUCAGGGACAAUAUUAAAGCUGAACCCAAGGGUGGAGGAGGGCCAGAGAAACAGCCAGCGCUUGAGAGCAGGCGUUCAUCGCAAAGAAUCAUUGGUCUGGUUCAAGGCCCAUAGUCUCUGAUACAUCAUCGAUACCAGGCCCGCACUGGGACCUUUCCUGGACAUCCUGCUGCUGCCCUGUGUUAUGAAGAUCCUGCAGCUCUGUGUCCACAGAAUCAACCCCGCCUCCCCUGCUUCAGAAGAUCACAGAUAGGGUGGAUGUUGGGGUGGGCCAACACAUAACCUUAGCUCUGGACCUGGGUAGGAGCAGGGUUGGUCAGCCUGCCUGCUCUCCCCUGUCUUCACCACCAGGGUGAGCUCUCCAGCAUGGCCCGGCUAGAUGCCCCAAUGAGCAAGGGGCGGGGCCAGCUCUCCUGCUUUCACAUCCUCAGGGUCCGAGAGCUGCUGCUUUAAAGGAUCAGAAACUCACAGAUUUUGUCUUCAUCUAUAGAUUGUGCUACACGCAAAUGAUCUUGUUGCAGAAAAAAAAAAGGAAGGGGACAUAAAAGGAGGAUAAAAUGACAAAGAUAUUCUUGUCUAACUGAUGCACUUACAGGUAUACAGGAAGCAGUUUAGGGUAAAAUAAAUUUUUAAAAAUGUUAAAUAAAUAAAAUAAAAAAGAAAAACUUGCUUUGAUUUUAA
Molecule: long non-coding RNA, 1128 nt
Organism: Peromyscus leucopus (white-footed mouse)
Lineage: Eukaryota; Metazoa; Chordata; Mammalia; Rodentia; Cricetidae
Exons: 4
Source: RefSeq, a predicted model, not a curated record